Ooceraea biroi (clonal raider ant) is the source of this 3596-nucleotide RNA transcript. It is a transcript of the gene named protein MTO1 homolog, mitochondrial, with no coding region annotated. The record is from RefSeq and is a predicted model, not a curated record. Lineage: Eukaryota; Metazoa; Arthropoda; Insecta; Hymenoptera; Formicidae.
UUCGUAGCAUAGGCUCCGUCCAUAUAUUCCUAUGUCAAUGCACGAUACGUAUCUGGAAAUAUUGUUUGUGCCGUCCACGUUCGAUUCGCGCAUGUACGAAUCCGUCAACGUGAAAACUUUGUAAUUAUUGUACAAGUCGUAUGACGCAUGUAACACGUCGCAGCGCAGCACCAACGUUUCGAUACUGUCGCGAUAUCACACUUCGCGACAGGUGACAAUCGCAGCGUCGCGUGAGCUGGCAAUGCGUGAUCGAAAACAUGUACGAGAAUGUUUCUACUGUAUACGAGUAACGUCGUGGGAUAACAUCACUGUUUUUACUUUUUAUAGUAUAAUUAGGUUAAGUUAGGUUAGGGAAUUGGAUGAUUUUAAUGUCUAUUUGGUACGCAUAUUUUUAAUAUAUUUUUUAUCUACGAUGUUGUAUAUACUUUUUCAACAUCUUUUUACAUUUUUGCUUUUAUUGGCUUUCGUUUUCAGGAUAAAAAGAAGGAAUAGUUGGAUAAAAUUGUCGACUCGUUGAGAUUCGUUUGGAAACUGAAAGUGUAAAAUACAGGCAAAAAAUAACAGUGAAGCAACAUGAUUCUUAGGAGUAUUAAAAUACCUCCAUCUAGUUUAUAUCAUGGCAAAAAGCAGUUGCAAUUGUUGAAAAGACUAAUUACAAGCAACACUCAAGAAAAAUUUGAUGUAAUCGUCGUUGGUGGUGGUCAUGCUGGAACCGAAGCAUCUGCGGCUGCUGUUAGAAUGGGUGCCAAGACACUGUUGGUUACUCAAAAAAAAAGUACUAUAGGAGAAAUGUCGUGUAAUCCAUCCUUUGGCGGAAUCGGAAAGGGUCAUUUGAUGCGAGAAGUAGAUGCUUUGGACGGAGUGUGUUGUCGGAUAUGCGAUAUGUCGGGGAUACACUACAAAGUUUUAAACCGAUGCAAGGGACCGGCUGUGUGGGGCCUUAGGGCUCAAAUCGACAGAAUGUUGUAUAAGAAACAUCUUCAAGAAGAACUUUUUAACACGCCGGGAUUGCACAUUUACGAAUCCUCCGUAGAAGAUCUGAUUUUGUCGGCAGAGCCUCUGUCGUGCUGUGGAAUUAUUCUCAAAGAUGGAACGAAAGUAUUCGGUGAUGCGGUAGUUAUAACCACGGGAACUUUCUUAAAAGGCCAAAUAAAUAUUGGAUUAGAGAAGAGACCCGCAGGUAGAUUAGACGAUGAGCCUAGUAUCGGUUUGGCAGACACACUCGACAGGCUUGGAUUUCGAAUAGGAAGAUUGAAAACUGGCACACCGCCAAGACUAGAGAAAGAAAGCAUCGACUUUACUGCGUGCACUAUAUUUCCACCAGAUGAUUUUCCCAUACCAUUCUCGUUUAUGAAUGAUAAGGUGUGGCUACAGCCAGAUAAACAAGUGCCGACUUAUAUGACGUACACGAACGAGGGUGUUGCACGUAUCAUAAAGGAGAAUAUGCAUUGCAAUUUACACGUUACGGAGGAGAUAACGGGUCCGCGGUAUUGUCCGAGCAUAGAGAGUAAGGUUCUACGAUUCAAGAAUUCUGACCAUCAGAUCUGGCUAGAGCCGGAAGGGCUAGACUCACCGUUAAUUUAUCCGAGCGGACUGUCGUGCACUCUGCCAGAGGAGAAACAGAUUGAACUCGUUAAGUGUAUUCCAGGAUUGGAGAAUGCUCGCCUCGCUAGGCCUGGUUACGGCGUUGAAUAUGACUAUGUGGAUCCUAGAGAAUUGACCUCUCAGUUGGAGACCAAAAAAGUUCCAGGAUUGUUUCUGGCCGGACAGAUAAAUGGUACUACCGGUUACGAAGAGGCUGCCGCGCAAGGUAUCGUCGCGGGUGUCAACGCGGCCGCUAAGGUGUUUAGGAAACCGCCGCUUCUGAUAAGUCGAACUGAGGGCUAUAUCGGCGUCCUCAUUGACGAUCUAACGACGGCGGGUACCACGGAGCCGUACAGGAUGUUUACCAGCAGGGCGGAGUUUCGAGUGAGUCUACGUCCCGAUAACGCUGAUCAGAGACUGACGGAAAAGGGAUACGCAGUGGGCUGCGUUUCUCGCAAGAGACUCGACAGGACGAGGGAGACUCUUUGCAAAAUGCAAGAGAUCAUACAGAUACUCAAGAGUAAUACGCAACCAAGUAAAAAGUGGCGAAAAUUGUUGAAGUUGAAGGAAUCCAAAACAACCAAUAUCAAAUCUGCUUUCGACAUUCUGUCGAUAACUAACGAGGAUAUCACGUUUGCGCGAUUAGCAAAAUAUUUACCGGAAAUGUUGAACCAUUUGCACGACAACCCGGCUCUGGCCACAAGAAUAGAGAUCGAAGCAAAAUAUUCGCAUGUCGUUGGGACUCAGCAGGCUCAAGUAAAUGAUGUCAGAAAAAAUGAGCAAAUGGUUAUACCAGCCGAUAUUGACUACAAUAAUCCUGAACUAAAUUUAUCCAACGAAGAUCGAGAGAAACUCGCAAAACAUCUGCCAAACACGAUUGCGGCGGCUAAUAAAAUCUCAGGUGUGACUCCUUCGGCUAUAUUAAGGUUACUCUAUUACAUCAGACGUAACGCCAAUCAGAACGUUCGCUAUCUGUCACGUGAUCAUUUGUAUCGUUUACGCAUGUGUAAAACAUGGCGGGAUUCUCUCGCAAGUCGCAACUUGGCAACACUGAUGACCGAUUUCCGUUCGCUUCUCAUUUCCUUUCCGACACUGGGCGUGUGAGCAGGUAGUCGGAGUUCUUCAGUUUUCUUGGGAAGAACUCGCGAAAAGCACGUGAAAAUGACUUGAGCAAGGAACUACUUAUUGAGUUGGCCAAUAAUUUAAGCUAAUAUGGUGAAUUUUGUUCACCAAGAAAUUGCUAAGAAUAGCAGAACAUCGUAAAUGUUCAAAACAAUGGGAAAGAAAGACACCAAGGAGUAAUCGAACCAUACUAUGUUUCAUCUUGUAUGGUCUAAAACACACCAUAAUUUUAAUCAUUUCUGGAGGCGCAAAUUUGUCCAAGACUUGCUGAAACAUGAAAUGAAGAAAGAUAGCGAGAAAAAUUAUUUAUCACCAGUCGAACCAUAUUACGCUUCAACUUGCAAGAUCUGAAACAUGCUAUAAUUUUGAGCAGUUCCAAAGGCACAAAUUGAGAAGGCUGAAGCUCUUGCUGAAACGAAGAAAGACAGCGAGAAAAAUUAUUUAUCACCAGUCGAACCAUAUUACGCUUCAACUUGCAAGAUCUGAAACAUGCUAUAAUUUUGAGCACUUCCGAAGGCACAAAUUGAGAAGGCUGAAGCUCUUGCUGAAACGUAAGAUGAAGAAAGAUAGCGAGAAAAAUUAUUUAUCACCAGUCGAACCAUAUUACGCUUCAACUUGCAAGAUCUGAAACAUGCUAUAAUUUUGAGCACUUCCGAAGGCACAAAUUGAGAAGGCUGAAGCUCUUGCUGAAACGUAAGAUGACGAAGGAGUGACAUGAAAUGAAGAUACUCGUUUGAAUUUGUUGGUCAAUAUUCAAGCUUGACUUGGCAGUCAUCUUUGAUAAAGUAAACCUAUCUUUGAUAAAGUAAGGACUACCUUUAUUAUUUAUGUUUUCUUCAUUUAUUAUAUUUAGACUGAUGUUUUUAAAUAAAUUUGAAUAAAAAUUUUCC